GCCUGGGUAGCUUAGUUGGUUAAGCGUGUGACUUUGACUCAGAUCAUGAUCUUGUGGUUAGUGAGUUCGAGCCCCACAUCAGGCU
Molecule: transfer RNA, 85 nt
Filed under: Felis catus (domestic cat)
Lineage: Eukaryota; Metazoa; Chordata; Mammalia; Carnivora; Felidae
Rfam family: tRNA
About the family: Transfer RNA (tRNA) molecules are approximately 80 nucleotides in length. Their secondary structure includes four short double-helical elements and three loops (D, anti-codon, and T loops).
Source: Rfam by way of RNAcentral